Molecule: ribosomal RNA, 158 nt
Filed under: Hygrocybe miniata
Lineage: Eukaryota; Fungi; Basidiomycota; Agaricomycetes; Agaricales; Hygrophoraceae
Description: 5.8S ribosomal RNA
Rfam family: 5.8S ribosomal RNA
About the family: 5.8S ribosomal RNA (5.8S rRNA) is a component of the large subunit of the eukaryotic ribosome. It is transcribed by RNA polymerase I as part of the 45S precursor that also contains 18S and 28S rRNA.
Source: RNAcentral
ACAACUUUCAACAAUGGAUCUCUUGGCUCUCGCAUCGAUGAAGAACGCAGCGAAAUGCGAUACGUAAUGUGAAUUGCAGAAUUCCGUGAAUCAUUGAAUCUUUGAACGCACCUUGCGCCCCUUGGUAUUCCGAGGGGCAUGCCUGUUUGAGUGUCAUU